RNAcentral lists this ribosomal RNA (407 nucleotides) under uncultured bacterium. RNAcentral describes it as "partial 16S ribosomal RNA". It matches the Rfam family "Bacterial small subunit ribosomal RNA", at positions 30 to 526 of the family's 1533-position model. The record is from RNAcentral.
AUUGAACGCUGGCGGCAGGCCUAACACAUGCAAGUCGAGCGGAGCGGCGGACGGGCGCGUAAUGCCUAGGAAUCUGUCUGGUCGUCGGGGAUAUCGUCCGGAAACGGGCGCUAGUACCGCAUACUAUCAGAUGGGCCUGGGUCGGGUUAGCUAGCUGGGGGGGUAAAGGCCUACCACGGCGACGAUCCGUAACUGGUCUGAGGGGAUGAUCAGGCACACUGGAAUGGAGACACGGGCCAGACUCCUCCGGGAGGCAGCGGUGGGGAAUAUUGGACAAGGGGCGAAAGCCUGAUCCAGCCAUGCCGCGUGUGUGAAGAAGGGCUUCGGAUUUGAAAGCACUUUAAGUUGGGUGGCGUUACCAUCAGAAUAAGCACCGGCUAACUUCGUGCCAGCAGCCGCGGUAAUUC